GCGAGGUUUCAUUUUGUGGAAUUUGAUGACCCUGAGAGUUUUCACGAGGUGAUUCAUGGCGAGUCUGGCUGGCACUGGUUUGAGAGGUAUAGUGAUUGUUAAUUUGCCGAUUUAUGGCUCAAGGAGUUGGAGGAAUGAAAUGCGUAUGCGGGCGAACAAUGAGGAUGAUGCUUAGCUUCUUUUCGUGGGGGAGGUUGUACAUCAGGGCAGGAGGAAUUGAUUCAUAUUUCAAGUGGUAGUGAUGGUGGAGGGAGAUGAUGAAGUCCUUGUAUAUAUCCUUCUUGUCUUUUUGAGAUAAAACUUAUUUAUGCUAACAAUAUCAUCUUAAUUUUCAAGUCAUGUUUUAAAAACUUUUGUCAAUUUCUAAAUUUGAUCCUUAUUAUCUUAACAAACUUUAAUAUCUUGGGCUCAUUUCCAUCUAUUUCUCUGCAUAAUUCUCUAAUUUGUCAUUUUUUUGUACCUCAUGUUUUCAACCUGCAGUUACAACCGGCUUUGAGGCCCUCUGAUAAAUGAUCUGCACCAUAAGAUAUUGUAUUCUGUUCAGGUACUAAACAAAAUAUGCCUUGGAACACUAUAAGCAUUACCUGACUCAUAUUAAUCCUUUUAGAAGCAAGUUGGUACUGUGAACCUACUCAUUCUCAUUAUAGUUGAUGAUGAACACUAAGCCGCGCUUAGUAGCAAUGAUUCUCGGAAUGGUCUAACUGUUAUUUUUAACUUCAGCUUGCUGUUUUCCAGUGCUCACAAUCAUUUCUCGGUUUAUGUGGCAGUUAAACCAAGGAUCUCUAUUCAAAGCUUGUUCCGUCAGAAACGUUCAUUGAUUGCCACUUUGCAUAUAACAGUAGUGUACCAAUGAUUUAAGACCCUUAGAAGAAAUCAAUUUGAGUUGACCCUGAAAUAAACCUUAUUAGGUUUCGCAGACAUUUCUUUUUGAAUGCCCUCAAUCAAUCAAAAGAAUGGCGUGAGAGUAGAUUUAAGAAAGGCAUCUUAACAGGAAACUUUUAUGUAUUGAAUUGUUUGACUUGCUAUGCAGGGACAAGACUUGAGUCUGCAGAGUAGAGCCAGUACUAUAUAAAUGACUAGUCUGAUAGGUAAUUCAUGUUUGGGCUGGAUGUGCUACACGAACCCUUGCUUAUCAAAAUUUUUAGUGCGUUCCUCCUGAAAAGGUCACCUUUUUCUGAGAGGUCACUGCACCGAAAAUACUGGUUGUUUCGAUUGACUUAGAAUAGGACGUGCAAUCUUACUAGCAGAAAUAGACUAGCCUAAUGAUCUACAUAUAGCAAUUUUGUUUUUCUUCAAAAACUGCUGAUGAGUGGAAUUGACUGGAUGUGAUAGACAAUGACAUCAAUUGGCAUGUAGUUAAUAAUUCUUGAAUGACAUGCCAUUUGCGUUAUACUUUGGAUGUUUGGCAUUAUGUACUACGUUACUUUUUCAACAUGAAGUUUAUCCAUCCCACUAAGUAUGCAUGUCUUGUCAGCUUCAAUCGGAUUAUCCUUUGCAUCAUUGUGUUAGUAUUUAUCCAUUUUAUUUGCGGCAUUCUUAUCCAAGUGUUUUUUUUUGCUAUUCGGUAUGAUGCUGCUAUAAAUUUAGUUUGAGUACAACUUUAUUCUGUUUCUAAAAUAUUUGCCAAACUAAUCUGGAAGGUAAACCUUGGCAUCCUUCCUGUCCUGGUUUUGUCUUCUUAUAUGGUGGCCCCAUAGUGAUUUUCUAGAGAGCAUGCAUGUUCUCACAUGGAAAAGCCAGCACCAAAUACAUGAAAGGAUUUACUUUAGGUCAUUUGCUUGGCUGGCCACCCAACAAAGAAAAGAACCUACAUUGCUUGUCCUUUGGUGGAGUGGUUCACAGUGUGCUAGUGGCAACUGCAAGGGGUUCUUGCAUGUGUUCUUUAGCUCAAUGGUGUACUAUGUCCCGAAGACGGCGAGCGAGGUGGCGUGGAAGGGAAGAAGCUUCUACGGAGUACACUGGUGAAUGAACUUAAGCACCAACAGAGGCCAACAUAUAUAUACCCAAGCGAUCAUGAAUCAGUUGAUCCAAAGGUCUGCAAACUCUUCCCCUCUUGCUUCCUAAGUGUUCUGCAGAUAUUUAGAGUUUUGUGUUUUCUUUGCAAAGGACUUCAGCUUUUUGGGUGAAUUAUCUUUGAAUCUAACGUUAUAAAUGUUUUGUCAGGCAUGUAGUAAUUAUUUCUGAGAUUUACAUGAUAAAUUUCUAUGAUAAUGUAGAGGUUUAUUAUAAUAUUUUGAUUUGAUAUAUAAUUCUCUCUCUUUUUUUUUCAUUUCCUCCUUGUUUCUACUCAUAGUUUCAGUUUAGGUGAAUCAUGAUUAUCACUUUGAUUUGUUUAGUUUGAUUUGCAUUUAAAUGUAGUAUGAGAGAGAGUUUGGAUUAUAUAUUUAGAUUCUUUACAAUGUAGCAGACAUAUAUAUAAGGAUGAUAAGUUCGAAUAAGUAAUAAUAAUCUCAUAUUAGUUAAUAUGAUAAAUUAUAUGAAUGAGGUUUGUAAGUUAAAUAUACUUUAUCCAAUAUAUGUUUGAUUUGCAUGAAACAAAUACAAAAGCUUUUAACAUAAACAUUGCUAUUGCUAGACCUUCUAUUCCCUUAGUCAUGGAACUUAUCAGGAUUAACUUAAUUAUUCUCAUAAUUUCAUGAUCAACUGAUAUGAGUGAUGUCACAUCUCGUCACACAAAUUAAAAGCUCUUAGUGCUAAAGUGUUAAUUAUAUAUCAUGUAGAGUGAGUCCCACCACCUUUUUAGAGUUGCCAUGGUUUACAUCCUAAACAGUGGUUGAAAAGCAAAGCCUUGAGUCUUAUCAUCAUCAUCAUCAUCAUCAUCAUCAUCUCAGCACACAUCUCAUAUCAUCAUUGGAUAACAAAAGCAAGCCGUUGUUGUUCAUUUCUCUAAAAAGCCAUUUUUUGUUCAUUAAGUUCAUAGAAAAUAUAUAUAUAUAUAUAGGGAAGGGAAUAUAUAUAUAUAUAUAUAUAUCACUAGUAAGGGUCCCAUGUUGUUUGCUAGAUGACAUUAAGGAUGGAGAAUGAGAGCAUGUGCAAAGGAUGCAAGUGGGUAACAUGGAGCAAUAUAUAUAUUUAUGCCCUCCUCAUACUUCUUAAAGUGCAUAGCUUUCAUUCUUGUUGGAUUUCUCUGGCAUGCAUGAACUAACUGAAAAACCUCCCAAUCCUUGACUUGUUUUUUUUUUAUACUUCUUUAUGCCUUCCCACUCUUGCAUUUGAAGAUGCUUGUGUGGUUGUCAUUAGUGGGAGAGUUCAUGGGACUUUGGCUAUUUGUGCCUAGCUUGGAUACAACCAUUAGAGAAUAAUAACCUUUAAUUUUCCUCUUGGAAACAUCUAUAUAUGAAGAGUUUAAUUUAUUAUAGUUCUUGGCUACUGAAUAUAUAUAGGAGAUCAUUUUUUUCAAUUUAAUUUUGGUGUUUAUAUAUAUUUUUCAUAUAACAUUUGUCUUCUUAUUAAUGUUGAUAAAAUAGAGACUUGUUAUGUUAUGCUAUUUUUAUAUUUUUUUUUCUUGAACAAUUAAGUAUUAUGUCUUGGAAAUGAGU
Molecule: long non-coding RNA, 3539 nt
Organism: Dioscorea cayenensis subsp. rotundata (Guinea yam)
Lineage: Eukaryota; Viridiplantae; Streptophyta; Magnoliopsida; Dioscoreales; Dioscoreaceae
Exons: 4
Source: RefSeq, a predicted model, not a curated record